CUUGUUAUCAAACAUGUUCUCUGAUAAUACAAAAUCUGUUCUUAUCAGCUCAAUAUCUGAUACGUGCCCUACACGGGCACCAGAAUAUUAAACUGAUUUUUGAACAUUGGCGGGGUUACCGGAGCUUGCUCCCGCCCUGCCGCCGGUUGGCCGGGAAUUGCACUGUAGCCAGGAUCGGCCCAUUUUAU
This 188-nucleotide small nuclear RNA is filed under the name Pollicipes pollicipes. Its description in RNAcentral is "U2 spliceosomal RNA". It matches the Rfam family "U2 spliceosomal RNA". From Rfam's summary of the family: U2 is a small nuclear RNA (snRNA) component of the spliceosome (involved in pre-mRNA splicing). Lineage: Eukaryota; Metazoa; Arthropoda; Thecostraca; Pollicipedomorpha; Pollicipedidae. The record is from RNAcentral.